GUGCUCACUCACUUGAGCAACACAUACACUUAAACUGGAACUAUACAGAGAAGAUUAGCAUGGCUCCUGAGCAAGGAAGACACGCAAAUACUUGAAACGUUCCAUAUUUUU
Molecule: small nuclear RNA, 111 nt
Organism: Hyaena hyaena (striped hyena)
Lineage: Eukaryota; Metazoa; Chordata; Mammalia; Carnivora; Hyaenidae
Source: RefSeq, a predicted model, not a curated record